RNAcentral lists this ribosomal RNA (1589 nucleotides) under Escherichia coli. RNAcentral's name for it is "bacterial LSU rRNA". It matches the Rfam family "Bacterial large subunit ribosomal RNA", at positions 1241 to 2812 of the family's 2925-position model. Lineage: Bacteria; Pseudomonadati; Pseudomonadota; Gammaproteobacteria; Enterobacterales; Enterobacteriaceae. The record is from RNAcentral.
CUGUAAGCCUGUGAAGGUGGCCUGUGAGGGUUGCUGGAGGUAUCAGAAGUGCGAAUGCUGACAUAAGUAACGAUAAAGCGGGUGAAAAGCCCGCUCGCCGGAAGACCAAGGGUUCCUGUCCAACGUUAAUCGGGGCAGGGUGAGUCGACCCCUAAGGCGAGGCCGAAAGGCGUAGUCGAUGGGAAACAGGUUAAUAUUCCUGUACUUGGUGUUACUGCGAAGGGGGGACGGAGAAGGCUAUGUUGGCCGGGCGACGGUUGUCCCGGUUUAAGCGUGUAGGCUGGUUUUCCAGGCAAAUCCGGAAAACCAAGGCUGAGGCGUGAUGACGAGGCACUACGGUGCUGAAGCGACAAAUGCCCUGCUUCCAGGAAAAGCCUCUAAGCAUCAGGUAACAUCAAAUCGUACCCCAAACCGACACAGGUGGUCAGGUAGAGAAUACCAAGGCGCUUGAGAGAACUCGGGUGAAGGAACUAGGCAAAAUGGUGCCGUAACUUCGGGAGAAGGCACGCUGAUAUGUAGGUGAAGCGACUUGCUCGUGGAGCUGAAAUCAGUCGAAGAUACCAGCUGGCUGCAACUGUUUAUUAAAAACACAGCACUGUGCAAACACGAAAGUGGACGUAUACGGUGUGACGCCUGCCCGGUGCCGGAAGGUUAAUUGAUGGGGUUAGCGGUAACGCGAAGCUCUUGAUCGAAGCCCCGGUAAACGGCGGCCGUAACUAUAACGGUCCUAAGGUAGCGAAAUUCCUUGUCGGGUAAGUUCCGACCUGCACGAAUGGCGUAAUGAUGGCCAGGCUGUCUCCACCCGAGACUCAGUGAAAUUGAACUCGCUGUGAAGAUGCAGUGUACCCGCGGCAAGACGGAAAGACCCCGUGAACCUUUACUAUAGCUUGACACUGAACAUUGAGCCUUGAUGUGUAGGAUAGGUGGGAGGCUUUGAAGUGUGGACGCCAGUCUGCAUGGAGCCGACCUUGAAAUACCACCCUUUAAUGUUUGAUGUUCUAACGUUGGCCCCUAAUCGGGGUUGCGGACAGUGUCUGGUGGGUAGUUUGACUGGGGCGGUCUCCUCCUAAAGAGUAACGGAGGAGCACGAAGGUUGGCUAAUCCUGGUCGGACAUCAGGAGGUUAGUGCAAUGGCAUAAGCCAGCUUGACUGCGAGCGUGACGGCGCGAGCAGGUGCGAAAGCAGGUCAUAGUGAUCCGGUGGUUCUGAAUGGAAGGGCCAUCGCUCAACGGAUAAAAGGUACUCCGGGGAUAACAGGCUGAUACCGCCCAAGAGUUCAUAUCGACGGCGGUGUUUGGCACCUCGAUGUCGGCUCAUCACAUCCUGGGGCUGAAGUAGGUCCCAAGGGUAUGGCUGUUCGCCAUUUAAAGUGGUACGCGAGCUGGGUUUAGAACGUCGUGAGACAGUUCGGUCCCUAUCUGCCGUGGGCGCUGGAGAACUGAGGGGGGCUGCUCCUAGUACGAGAGGACCGGAGUGGACGCAUCACUGGUGUUCGGGUUGUCAUGCCAAUGGCACUGCCCGGUAGCUAAAUGCGGAAGAGAUAAGUGCUGAAAGCAUCUAAGCACGAAACUUGCCCCGAGAUGAGUUCU